Molecule: long non-coding RNA, 711 nt
Organism: Aegilops tauschii subsp. strangulata
Lineage: Eukaryota; Viridiplantae; Streptophyta; Magnoliopsida; Poales; Poaceae
Source: RefSeq, a predicted model, not a curated record
GGAUGAUGAUGUGGCAGCAGGUCGCUGAAAUAAGUGGGCCUCUGUUCGUGGAAAAAAAUCCUAUGCGACCGGGUCGCACAAAGCUGAUCGUGAGACCCUGCCCCGCACGUGACACCUGGCGAUACGAAUCGUAAAGCAGCAGUCGUCUCGUUCCCCACUCCCCGUUCCCAAAUCACGAUUCCUAUCCACUUCAAUCUCUUCACAUUGCCGCCGGUGAGCUUAUCCCCGCAGGCCACUGCGAUGCUCCUGGGCGCCUCCACUUCCGGCACCGGCGGCGCACUAUGAACGCACCCCUUGGCUGCAAUCAAGCUUCUCGCCGACGGGAGCCGAGGAGCGUGUAGGCGUGGACAACGAGGAAGAGAGCAGCAGGGACGGUGCUCCGGUGCUUCCGCGAUAGAGCGAGCAGGAAGAGUUGCAGCGGCGGCGGCGGCGACGACGACGACGGCCGACAGGCGAGCUUGGGCGCCGGCGAAUGCAGAAUGGAAUUGGGGAUUUGUUAAACUGAGCGAGCAGGAUGAGUCGGGGGCCGAAACAGGAUUCAGCAUUGCUUUAAGAUUCGUUUGUCCAGGUGUCAGCCGAUGGAGAGGGUCUCACGUCCGGGGGCGUACGACCCCCGGGUCGUAUAAGAUUGUUUUCCCUCUGUUCGUCUCACUCUUGUUUCGUGUUCAUACUUUAGAGAAGAAAUCGCAAGGGCCGCAGCGCCGCCGUCCA